RNA transcript from Girardinichthys multiradiatus, 3249 nucleotides. It is a transcript of the gene named chloride anion exchanger-like, with no coding region annotated. The transcript has 21 exons. Lineage: Eukaryota; Metazoa; Chordata; Actinopteri; Cyprinodontiformes; Goodeidae. The record is from RefSeq and is a predicted model, not a curated record.
UCCCCCAGUCAGGACAGUACAGGGCACCACCUGGCUUUUGUGUUCUGUCUGAAUCAGAGGAUCUGGAGCUUUUGUUGCUUGCUGUUAAUAACUUGGAAAAGUGACGUUCAAAGGUAGCAGAUGUUUCUUCUUCUAACUUAAUGUGAUUAUUAUACCUUAGAGUCACAUAGAGAGGGAGCAGCGGUCCUCCAGGCAGCAGAAGCAAGAUGAUGCGAGCGGGAGCUAGGCAGUAUGUAGUGGCCAGGCCGCUGUACUCGGAGGAUUCAUUCAACGAGGAGCAUGAGAAGGUGUACAGGCACCACAAGACAAUGCUGGACCACAUUAAACUGUACUUCAGAUGUGAUGCCAAACGAGUCAAGAACGCAGCUCUGUCUCUCCUGCCAGUCAUCAGCUGGAUGAAAAUCUACAGAAUCAAAGAGUGGCUGUUCAGUGACAUUGUGUCUGGUAUCAGCACAGGACUGGUGGCUGUCCUGCAAGGUCUAGCUUACUGCUUGCUGGCCUCUCUGCCUCCCUGGUAUGGACUCUUUGCUGCCUUCUUUCCAGUUGUCAUCUACUUUUUCUUGGGCACCUCAAGACACAUCUCAGUGGGUCCUUUUCCGGUCUUGUGCCUGAUGAUUGGCUCGGUGGUAACUAGGCUUGUUCCAGACGAAGGGCCAGCUGCCAACAUCACUGGGUUUGAAGGUCUGACAAGAGACGAACAGAGAGUGUUGGUGGCCUCCUCUCUGGCCUUCCUCACGGGUAUCAUGCAGCUGGCAAUGGGAAUACUACAGGUGGGCUUCGUUGUCAUGUACCUGUCCGACACCCUGGUCUCCGGUUUCACCACAGCUGCUGCCAUUCAUAUCCUGGUUUCUCAGUUAAAGUUUGUGUUGGGGCUCCAGGUUCCGGGCAUCAGUGGACCACUUGCCCUCAUAUAUACUCUGGAGAUCAUUUUUAAGAAGAUCACCUCCAGCAACGUGUGUGACAUUGUGAUCUCCCUCGUGAUCAUGGUGGUGGUGUUCAUUGUGAAAGAGCUAAACGACAGAUUCAAAUCCAAACUGCCUGUGCCCAUCCCGAUAGAGGUUAUCAUGACUGUUAUUGCUUGUGGAGUUUCUUAUGCGUUUGACUUUAAGACAAGAUAUGGCGUUGAUGUUGUUGGCCAAAUUCCCAGAGGAUACGAGCCUCCAGUGGCCCCAAACCUUCACAUUUUCCAGGAGACAGCGAUGGAAGCUUUUCCAAUGGCUAUUGUUGGCUUUGCUGUGGCAUUUUCUGUGGCAAAAGUCUUUUCUAUAAAACAUGAUUACACAAUAGACGGGAACCAGGAGUUGAUAGCCUUUGGAGUAAGCAACAUUUUUGGAGCAUCCUUCAAGGCGUUUGCAGCGAGUACAGCUCUUUCCAGGAGUGCAGUACAAGAAAGUACUGGAGGAAAAACUCAGGUUGCUGGUAUAAUAUCAGCUAUUAUAGUAAUGAUUGUCACUUUGGCCAUUGGAUAUCUACUAGAGCCUUUACCAAAGUCUGUGCUGGGUGCUGUGGUUAUCAUCAACCUGAAGGGCAUGCUUUUGCAGUUCAAGGAAAUUCUGUACCUGUGGAGGAGAGAUAAGCCAGAUUGUGUGGUGUGGGUGGUGACCUUUUUAGCAGCCACCUUGAUGGGGCUGGACCUUGGAUUGGCUGUAGGUCUUGGUGUGGAGCUGAUCUGCGUCGUCCUCAGGGUUCAGUUCCCUCGCUGCAGUGUGCUGGCCAACAUUACAGGGACAGAUAUUUACAAAGACAGAAAGGACUAUAUUAGUGUAUAUGAACCAGAAGGGGUGAAAAUCUUCAGAAUCCCAUCCCCAAUCUUCUUUGCCAACAUGGACUUCUUUAAAAACAAUCUAGUGCAAGCUCUUGGCUUCAAUCCACUGAGAGUGUUGAAGAAAAGGAACAAAGCCCUGAGUAGGAUCAGAAAACUUCUGAAGAAAGGUGACUUGCAGUGGACAUCGAAAGGGUUCCUAAAUACAACAAAUGGAUCCAUAAAGGAAUCAGAAGAAGACAGCAAUUCCGAGGAGCUGGACCAGCCGAUUGACCUUAAGGACUUUCCCACCCGCAUUGACUGGAACGCUGCGCUUCCUGCCAACAUCGUUGUUCCCCGUGUGGAGAUCCACAGCUUGGUUUUGGAUUUUGCCGCUGUCUCCUUUUUGGAUAUAUCUGCUCUGAAGGGACUCAAAACAUUGCUGAAAGAACUGAUCCGUGUUGAAGUUGAGGUCUACAUUGUAGCUUGUGAUCAGUACAUCUUGGAGAAACUCCACAACUGUUGCUUCUUUGAUGAAGAAGUUCAGCCCUCCAUUUUCUUCCUAACUCUGCAUGAUGCCAUCCUGCACAUUCUGGAGACACAUCCAGAGACGACAGAAUACAAGCAUGAUAAGAUACUAACAACAGUGACUGUUCACCAUUCGGGCAGCAGUUUGAGGAUCAGAGAUAACAAUAAAAUCCAGUACAGCCAACUGCAAACAUAGCCAUCCACCUGAACUGACAGGCUGAGCAAGGAGAGAGAGCCAGCCGGGAAGCCCAUGGUAACUCUGGAGAGGUUGCAGAGAUGCAUAGCUCAGGGUCCAGACCCAGGUGUGGAGUCCAGGUUUUAACCAGGUCAGAAGGAAAUGAUGGGAAGAAAAAGCAAAAACAAAAUGACCUUAAGAGUAUAUAUUUUAUACAUUUUGCUAUUUAUCUUACAGAAUUAAUAAUGUAUGUUUUAGAGCUCACCUGACAAAUUAUUCUAAAUUCAUUGCACAGUGUCUGUGCUGAUAUUUAUGUAUGAUUCAGUCAACCCAAUCAAAAAGAAAGAUUCAAAUUCAAUUCUGAGCAUUCCACAGUAGGUGAAUCCAGGGGUCCUGGAUGGACUGCCUUUAAUCUGUUCCACUUUUCCAUCUUUCACACAGUAGAAUGACUACCUUCAAAUAGUUUGGAGGCAGCCCUAUAACCCUUCCCAGAUUGAUGGGUAGCAACAGUUGUUUCUCUAAGGUCAUUGCUGAUGACUUUCCAUCCCGGUAUUGUGCUGACACAAACCUGUAUGCUCAAGACCAGCAAACAGCCAGAACUACUGCUUGUACAGAAUUGGUUGCAUUGAUGAUGAUCAGUUUGUUAGUGCAUUUGACGAUCAGCUUCUUCCUUCCUAAUAAAUUCAUGUAAAAUCACUAGCAAUAGACCUUUUGUAAUAUGUCAUGUCUGUUGUUUAUCUAAGCUUGUAUUUACCACAUUUAAAAAUUUGAUAGUGUUUUUAUAUAAAAGAAAAUGUUUGUGUGA